UACGUAGGGGGCAAGCGUUGUCCGGAAUCAUUGGGCGUAAAGAGCGCGUAGGCGGUCCGAUAAGUCGGCUGUGAAAGUCCAGGGCUCAACCCUGGAAAGCCGGCCGAUACUGUCGGACUAGAGUUCGGAAGAGGCGAGUGGAAUUCCCGGUGUAGCGGUGAAAUGCGCAGAUAUCGGGAGGAACACCAAUUGCGAAGGCAGCUCGCUGGGACGAUACUGACGCUGAGGCGCGAAAGCGUGGGGAGCAAACAGG
Molecule: ribosomal RNA, 253 nt
Filed under: uncultured bacterium
Lineage: Bacteria
Description: partial 16S ribosomal RNA
Rfam family: Bacterial small subunit ribosomal RNA
Source: RNAcentral